AGAGGACAUAACCAGUGGGAGAAGCUAAGCUGUGAGACGUGACUGGGAGAAGAGAGGAGUGGAAUGGGCAGAAAAAGCUCUCUGGAGAGAAUUAUGGGCAAGGGUUGCCUGUUAAUCAGGUGUGUGUGAUUCCUCCAGGGAGCAAGAGUGCCUCACUCCUGCCAUUGCUAAUAGAUGAUCCUGUGAUGCAGUGAAAAAGGUUGAAGAUAUAGGAAGCAAGUACAUAUACAGCAGGAUCACAUGGAGUGUUUUUACUAGAUCACAUAGAUACUUCCCCAGCAGGGCUUACAAUUUCUGGUUCGAUGGAGAGUACGGACAUUCAAGAAGGCAAGACCAAAGGACUCUCAGCAGGAGCAAUGAGAAAUUACAAAAAUGCAUUCCGAAUGAAGAGAAAAUGGUUUCGCAGGGUCAUUAACUGCCUGUGAUACUUUCCAAGGAGAAUCAUCCAAGCCCUAUGCUUGGAACUCUUUAAACUAAGCUGGACAAAAAGCUCAAGAAUUAUGCAUGUAGCAUAUGGCAUAUACUAGAAGUGUGAUGAGAUAUGGCAGGG
Long non-coding RNA from Hemicordylus capensis (graceful crag lizard), 550 nucleotides. RefSeq lists it as uncharacterized. The transcript has 3 exons. NCBI's taxonomy places the organism in Eukaryota, Metazoa, Chordata, Lepidosauria, Squamata, Cordylidae. The record is from RefSeq and is a predicted model, not a curated record.